Molecule: ribosomal RNA, 495 nt
Filed under: uncultured bacterium
Lineage: Bacteria
Description: partial 16S ribosomal RNA
Rfam family: Bacterial small subunit ribosomal RNA
Source: RNAcentral
GACGAACGCUGGCGGCGUGCCUAAUACAUGCAAGUAGAACGCUGGAGGAGUAGCUGGCUCUUCUUGCUGAUUUGCGGACGGGUGAGUAUCGCGUAUGUAUCCUGCCUUGCAGCGGGGUAUGACUUUAGGAAACGAUAGUUAAUAUCGCAUAAGAUUAGAUGUUGCAUGACAUUUACGUAAUAUUCGCAAUUUCCUCACUACAAUAUGGCGCUGCGUUGUAUUCGCGAUUUGGUGGGGUAACGGCUCACCAAGGCGACGAUACAUAGCCGACCUGAGAGGGUGAUCGACCACACUGGGACUGAGAAACGGCCCAGACUCCUACGGGAGGCAGCAGUAGGGAAUCUUCGGAAAUGGACGGAAGUCUGACCGAGCAACGCCGCGUGAGUGAAGGAGGUUUUCGGAUCGGAAAGCUCUGUUGUAAGAGAAGAAAGAGUGUGAGGGUGGAAAGUUCACACUGUGACGGUAUCUUACCAGAAAGGGACGGCUAACUACGUG